GACGAACGCUGGCGGCGUGCUUAACACAUGCAAGUCGAACGGAAAGGCCCUGCUUUUGUGGGGUGCUCGAGUGGCGAACGGGUGAGUAACACGUGAGUAACUUGCCCUUGACUUUGGGAUAACUUCAGGAAACUGGGGCUAAUACCGGAUAGGAGCUCCUGCUGCAUGGUGGUGGUUGGAAAGUUUCGGCGGUUGGGGACGGACUCGCGGCUUAUCAGCUUGUUGGUGGGGUAGUGGCUUACCAAGGCUUUGACGGGUAGCCGGCCUGAGAGGGUGACCGGCCACAUUGGGACUGAGAUACGGCCCAGACUCCUACGGGAGGCAGCAGUGGGGAAUAUUGCACAAUGGGCGGAAGCCUGAUGCAGCAACGCCGCGUGCGGGAUGACGGCCUUCGGGUUGUAAACCGCUUUCGCCUGUGACGAAGCGUGAGUGACGGUAAUGGGUAAAGAAGCACCGGCUAACUACGUG
This 468-nucleotide ribosomal RNA is filed under the name uncultured bacterium. RNAcentral's name for it is "partial 16S ribosomal RNA". It matches the Rfam family "Bacterial small subunit ribosomal RNA", at positions 28 to 507 of the family's 1533-position model. The record is from RNAcentral.